This 433-nucleotide long non-coding RNA is filed under the name Hordeum vulgare. Its description in RNAcentral is "long non-coding RNA (HVUL_LNC015356)". The record is from RNAcentral. Lineage: Eukaryota; Viridiplantae; Streptophyta; Magnoliopsida; Poales; Poaceae.
GCGGCGCGUGGGGCGGCGAAGUGCGGCGGCGGAGGUCCACCUGAAAUCGCGCCCGAGACGCCCGUCCCUGUCGUGGCGAGGUCCGCCAAAACCACGCCCGUCCCUCCCGUGGGGACGUCCGCCUGAGCCGUGCCCGACGCGUCCGUCCGCCUGAAGCCGCGCCCGACGCGUCCGUCUAUAGUUAUCCUCCAGCAACCCUCCGUGUCUCCUUGUCUCCCUUGGUUUUAAUUACCCGAGAAUGAAGAAGGUAUAUUUGAUGUUGUUCUUCAAGGUUCUACUCAUUCUCAUUCCAUUCCUAGCAUUAAUUUUUAACGGGGAUAAAGAAAUACAACAAACAGGAGAAUCAAACAUAUCUAUGCGAAUAGAGAACGCGAAUGCUGAUUAGGGAAGGUCAACAUGGUUUAGUUGGCAUAAGAAGCAACGAUGGACACAA